This is a long non-coding RNA of Caretta caretta (loggerhead turtle), 4708 nucleotides long. RefSeq lists it as uncharacterized. Lineage: Eukaryota; Metazoa; Chordata; Testudines; Cheloniidae. The record is from RefSeq and is a predicted model, not a curated record.
GCAUGCCGAGCGGCAACUCCGGAAUGAAGGUGGCUUGCGAACGAAGGGGCGAAAUGUCACAGGCUUGGGUCCCCCCGUCCCCUUUAAGUCGUUCGCUCGCUCAAUCCAGGCGGAAGGACCUCUGCUGGAUAAUGGAUAAUGCUUUGGGAAUUAAUGAGGGUUGUGUAGCAACUGAAGAUGUUGUGUGUUGUCUGCAGGAUCCCUGCCUCACUGACCUCCUUUGUCAAGCAUUUUGCGAUCCACUGAUGAAAUUCACUAUAUAAGAACCGGGGAUUAUUACUAUCAUUAUUAUUUGUUACGGAAGUUGGAUGGUGUGUAAUGAAUCAAUCAGGGAACAUCCACCUAACAUUCAGGCUAAGAGUGAUCUGGAGGGUUCUAGAUACAGACUGGGAACACCGUAAAGAGAGCUGGGAAAUAGAGCAACAGGGUACAAUAGGAUUGUGUUGUAGCAGGAUACAGAUUAGGGAACUUUCUGAAACACGGUGUGAUGAUUUUGCUAUCUUUUAUACAAGUGUAUAUCUGGAGUAACUGUAUUAAUUUCAAUGGAGUUACUCCAGAUUUCCUUUGGUGCAAAAAAUAGAAUUUGCACUCCAAUAUGCAGUUCUUGGAACAUUGCUCUGCUGUACGUUGAUCAGCUUAGGCAAUGUACGAUACCAGAACUAAAGCCAGUAUAUAUAAUGGUGAAAGGACUGCAAGAGUUUCACCAGGAAUUUUAGAUCUAGUCAGAAAUAGGUUAUACUGAUACAAAAUUUAUGCCUGUGGCAUCCCUACAUUCAGCAGUGCAUAAGCAAUACAGAGCUGGUUCAUUCUAAUGUCGCUGUCACGGCAUUUUAAAUGUUACAGAACAGGAGGUAUUUGAAUUAAGGAGGAGACAAGCUCUACGAAAUUUUAAUUCAACCCACAGAUGUCUAGUAAAUAAGCACUCAAACAUCAGCAGCCUGGGAGACUGAAGAGAUUCUAACAGUAACUUUGCCAACCAUUUUGCCAUCAUUGGUAAAUAUUCUAUCCCCAGAGUACACACCGAAAAGCUGUAAGGUUAAGCUGUUUAAACAUAACUUGUAUUAUACAGCGAUGUACUUGGGGAAACAGAACGCUGUGUGGUUGUUUCAGUUGAUAUUCUCCAAAGCUACUACAGAUCAUUUAAAUUUACCAAACGUACAGUUCCUCGUUCUAGUAGUCGAACACAGAACAAUCUACUUCUGAAAGGCAGACGAGUGAUUCUUUGCUAUCUAUUUGGCCUUCUCUAGCUCCAGUUCAUUGGGUUAAACCUUUAAGCCCCUUUUUACACCAUCUGCACAUAACCAUGGAGAAAGGCGGGCACAUGUGUAAGCACAGACAGAGAAUUAGAUACACAACAGAUUUAAAAUGGAUACAGAUCUGAGCACGCACGUACGCCUGACACACCCUACUUGUGCACACACGUGGGUGAAAAGUGGAUUUCAAACUGUCCAUUUGCAAUUUCCAAAAGAAAAAUUGUGGGGGUUGAUUUCUUUCUGCCUGGUCAAAUUUAGAUAAAGGAAAGCACUGACUAAGUCAUUUUGGAAAUUGUGUUUGUGUAUAAAUUAAAGCAGAAAAGCCUCUAUUCACUCAGUUUUGCCACUAAGCUGCCUGUAGCAGGGGUUGCAUUAGAUGAAGAAGGGACCACAGGCAGGAUCAGCAGGCAAUGCUCAAUGAAGACAAAUUAUGAAAGUACACAGAAAUAUACUAGCUAUUGCUUUCUGAACCACAGAGAUUAAUAGGAUUUAGAUCAAUACAGACAGACCAUUCUUGAUUCUGGCAAAGGUUUUUAAGUAAAAUUAUCAAGCACAGCAGCAAGGAUGUCCUUUUACAGCUACUUGUUGGAACUCUUAGGCGCUGGGUCCUGAGUGCUGCUCACUGUGGAUGAAUCUAAACACCCACACAGAGCCCCAUGAAAGUAAUUGGGAGUCCACCCACAAGAAAGAACUUGCAGAAAUGGGGCUUUAGACCCCGAUCCUGCAAACAGUUUUGCAUGUGCCUAAAAUUAGGCAUAUGAAUCGUCCUAGGGAAGUCAAUGGGCCUAUUCACGUUAAGCAUGUGCGUAAGUGUUUGGAGGAGCGCGGUAAUGGAGAUUUUAUCUCCAUACCGAUGCCAUUUAAGCCUUUUACUGGAGAUGGGAAAAUCAUUCAAAGAGAACAAAUUAUUCAAUGGAUUUAGCCCUUUUUUCUGUUCAUGAAUUGCUUGUAAAUAUGUUGAUUUCACUUAUUUGAUAUUCUCUAUAAUUCAGUGGAUAUUUGGGGACACAAAUUGCAGCCUGGAUUGCUCACUAAAGGUGAAAUUUGCUCCUUGCAAAGCGCCAGCACAAGACCUAUGCACCAUUCAAGUCACGUUUAAGCCCUACAUUUAAAGUUUCACCCCAAUUGCUCACUAAAUUGAAUCCUGCCAGUUCUAAAUAUUUGCAAUUCGAUGUCUGAGUUGUCGAACUGGCCACCGAUGUCACCAGGUAUUAUUUCUGCUGGCUUACUGAAUGAUCCAGCAGCUCUAAAUCACGAUUGAGUCACAAGGCAAACUCUGUUUUGUGAUUACAUGAAUUUCAGUUUGGGGAUAAAUUACUUGGGUAAUUUACACCCAUUUAUAAAUAGAUCAUAAAGUCUAAAGGACUGCCUUCCUCUGUAGCAUAGGGCACGGGUCACUUGCUGGAGGAUUCUCUGCUCAUUGAAGUCUUUAAACCACAAUUUGAGGACUUCAAUAGCUCAGACGUAGGUGAGAGGUUUUUCGCAGGUGUGGGUGGGUGAGAUUCUGUGGCCUGCGUUGUGCAGGAGGUCAGACUAGAUGAUCAUAAUGGUCCCUUCUGACCUUAAUAUCUAUGAAUCUAUAAUAAAUCGUUAAUUGUUUUAAAGUCCAACAGGUUUACGGGUCACUUAUAACUCUAAUAUCUUCUUUUUUUUGCUUACAACACAUACUACUCAUGUCCGUAACAUGCUUAUAACAUCUAUUAACGCUUUAUCAACCAUUUGUAAAUUGAACCUUAAUAUAAAGUGUGACUAUUAGUUUUCUGUGAACUUUCAUACAAACAAAUCUGCACUGAAGUGAAUAUCCACGAAGAGUGAAUAAAAGAGGAGAAAACAUGGAUAAUAUAGCAGGUCUAACAUUUCUUUCCCUGCCUUCCUGCCUCUGAACAAGAUUACAUCAUGAUCCAGUUUUGCAAGACAGCAAAACUUGGCAUUUUAACCUAUUGUUACAAUUUAGGUUAGGUAGGAAAAUAAUGAUAUUUCAGCUACGUUCAGAAAAAGGCGGGAAGGCUUGUGGGCAGAUGUGUUGGCUCUUGCUCUAGGGGUAGCUUUAAUCACUAGGGAGCAUGGUCAGGCAACUAAGCUUGUUGAUGUGUUAUUGCCAUAUGAAACAAGGAGCUUUCAUCAUUCCUUUAAAGAGCUGCUUAUGCUGGGGGUGGAGGGAGAGACAACUCCAGUAGCAUUCUGUUUGUGAAAAAAAAUACCUAGCUUACAUGAUCUCUAUUGAUCUCCCCUCGUUCUGCAUCAUUAAGGGCAUUUGCAUGAAAGCAAAUCUUUUUUAGGAAGCUUGCUUGCGCCUGCUGCUUAUUCCCCAAUAGGGUUAUCAUUCUCAUUUUCCCAGCAAACAAAUGGCGGUGUCAAACAGAGGAGGAGGACUUCACGGGAGGGGAAGAUCAGAUGAAACCCAUAAAAUGUCCUCAAUAAAAAACACCUCCCCCGAAUAGUUGGUAUGUAAGGAAAAGGCUGUUUAGUGGAAUAUUUUCCCGAGCGUUUCUUGGUAAUGGUGCUCUCAAGGGAGGAAACUAUUACUAGCCUGUGCAUUUGCUUGGUAUAUAGCUGCAGAUAAAAGAUAUAUUUAAAGGGAAGAUCAGAGGCCAAGAAAAUUAACAUCUCUCACCCUUGGCAUAAGCAGUGGCCAUAAAAUGCAAUACUUUUAUGGUUUAUUAGAUGUAGGGGGUACAGAGUCACAAUGGGAAGAAGUGUCAACCCACACAUCAUUUGCAUUUUUAUAACGCGUCAGAUUCAGACAUCCUUAUUUAGUGAGUAGUACCUUAUUCCAGGAGUAAUUUCAUUAACAUCAUGAGGCUUCUCACAGAGUAAGGUAGAGCUCAGUGUGAGUGAGGGUGUCAGACGCCAGUCCUCUAUGAAUACAUCAAAUGCAAAGCAUCAUUAUUAUGCUUAGUACCCAUUAUAGUGGUUUAAACUCGGCAAUGUUACCCAUGUUCAUAAAGAUAUCCCUAGGAUGCAACCUAUAUAUCACAGCUAGCAUCUUAAAUUGAUACUUAUAUGCAUAAAUGCCUAUUUCACAUUCCAAACUGCUAUUUUGUUCACCCAAACAUGGCAUGAGAUGUCCUGUUAAAGAAGCCAAUGUUUAAACCAUAUUCCAAAACAACAGAGUUACAGAGAGAAACCACAGCAAGAGGAAAUAUUAUAAGUGGCCCAGACAAGGAACAAUGACGUUUUGGCAGGUAUUUGAAAUCAGAUGAUGAAGAGUUAUCGAGAAGGAGAAACACAGGACAGCUGCUUCAGAAGAUAGAAGCAGCAAUGGAGAAAGGUCUUGCAUUGACAGAGGAGAGACGGAGAAUUCAUAUAUUCAGAUACACACAUGCUCUUUUUUAAUACUGUUGCUCACUGUCUGUAGAACAAAUAAAGGUUAUGUAAAUAAGGAGUUUGCAAUGAAUCUGGAGUUCUACUAAUUCAAUUGAUGAUUAUUGACUGAUAAAAAUCUAGCAAAUUUA